GGAACAUUCGGACCGUGUCGGUCUACCGAGCAACAUCACCCGCUCGGUGGAAGAUCUUCCCUUUGUCGU
RNAcentral lists this microRNA precursor (69 nucleotides) under Bombyx mori (domestic silkworm). RNAcentral's name for it is "mir-2774 microRNA precursor family". It matches the Rfam family "mir-2774 microRNA precursor family". Lineage: Eukaryota; Metazoa; Arthropoda; Insecta; Lepidoptera; Bombycidae. The record is from Rfam by way of RNAcentral.